RNAcentral lists this ribosomal RNA (3065 nucleotides) under Shiraia sp. slf14. RNAcentral describes it as "bacterial LSU rRNA". It matches the Rfam family "Bacterial large subunit ribosomal RNA". The record is from RNAcentral. Lineage: Eukaryota; Fungi; Ascomycota; Dothideomycetes; Pleosporales; Shiraiaceae.
UAUGUAAUGUAUUAUUUCAUAAUUUUAUUACCUUAAUAAAUAUUACUAAUUAAGAAUAGUUUUCAUGGAAUCGAUCUUAUAAAUGUCUCGAAACUUCAGGAAUCGAUUUAUAGGAUGUCUCGAAACUAUGUUAUUAAUCUAAAGGUAUAUUUUAAGGAUUAAUUUUAUGGCAAGUAUAUAAAGAGACUAUUAUAGUAAAAUAAAAGGCUGUAUAUUAAACCUUUAGUACCGUAAAAAUGGUGUAGUAAUUACAUUUCAUUAGGAAAAAAGGUAGAAAAAUUUCUUUCUAAAAAAAAAACGAAGUGAAUUGAAGUAUCUUAUUAGCUUCAGGAAAAUAAAUCAAACGAGAUUCUAUUAGUAGUGUGAAUGAAAAUAGAUAUGGGCUUAAAGUAAAAUGGAUUAAUCUGUUUGAAUAUAGGGGAACCUUCCUCUAAGCCUUAAUAUAAUAUACAAGAAAUAGAGAAUAGUACUGUGAAGGAAAUAUUGUAAUUAGUAGUCUUAUAAGCAGCUCAAGGUAAGUUUAGUAAACGUAUGAGAGCGUACCUUUUGUAUAAUGGGUCAGCAAGUUCUAGUUAGAUGCAAGCAAAUAUUGAUUAGUAGUGAGAUAGGAUAGUUAUUAAACUACAAGAAAAAUAAUCCAUUUGCCUAGAUAAUCCAAUUAUUAAGUAAUGAAUUAGUAUCUAAUUAGAGACCCGAAGAGUAGUGAUCUUACCAUGGUCAGGCUUAUAAAAGGCCGGAUGGGUUAUCGUUGUAAAGAUAUCCAAAGAACUGUGGUAAGUUAGUGAAAGACAAUCCUGACUACUAUAGCUGGUUUUCCGCGAAACAUAUGUAAGUAUGUAGUUUAAAGCACAUCAUAGCAGGUACAGAACUGUAAUCUCGGACAAUUUGUGCAUUAUGACUCUUUUAGUUUUUAUACUUUUGAGGGUUUUUAAUGCCUUGUGCAUAUGGGGGGGUCGUGAAGACUCUAUUCGCGAGUAUUUGCUCUCGGAAGGGCAAUGAUGAAUGUUGAACUAUCAGACAUUUAACGAUAAGGUUGUAUGUCAAAAGGGAAACAGCCCAGAACAAGUGUUUAAGGUUCCAAAGUUUUUGUUAAGUGAAAGUAAGGAAGUAUUUAAACUAUACAACCAGGAAAUAGGCUUAGAAGCGGCCAUUUUUUAAAGACCUCGUAACAGAGCACUGGUUCAAAGGGUUAAUUUAUUAACCUAAUUAGUUAAAAGCGCCGAAGAUAUAACGGAUCUAAAACAAAACACCGACACCUUGUCCAUAAUAAAAAUUUCAAAUUAAAUAAAUCAUUUAAUUUGAUUUUAAUAUAUUUAAUGAUUUAUUAAGUAUUAUUUAUGGGGUAGCGGAACAUUGGGUAAAUAGGAUUAAAAAUAGAAAUACAUAUAAAUAAUUUGUAUUAUAACCUUUAUAAUCUUUUUUUAAUUUAUAAAAAUGGUAUUAAAAGGAGUACAUCUAUUUUCAUAAUUACAUAAAGUAAUUUGCUUGCUUAUUAGCAAGUUUCCAUAAAUAUCCCAAGUGAGAAUGCUGACACGAGUAACGAAAAAGAGGAUGCCCUUGCAGGGCCCUCUCGCCUUAAGCUUAUGGAAAAGUUAAUCGGUCUCUAAAUUAAACCUAAAGGAUAAAAUGAUGAGGAGAUUAUAUGUGACAACAUAAAAUGGAGUAAAAUGUUCUGGAAAAGCAUAUAAUCAGAGGAUGUAUAUAAUAAUGCUAGUUAACUAAAAAAAAAUACUAGGCUUCCUCAAUUUUGUGAAACCGUACCUAAAAACUACCACAAGUAAGCUAGUAGAGAAUACGAAGGCGUUUGAGCUAACAAUCAUUAAGGAACUCGGCAAAUUGACACCGUAACUGAGGGAGAAGGUGUGCCAUUCCUACUGAUUAAUAUCAGUGUAGGAAGAGGAGACAUAAAAUGGUGUUGCACGACUGUUUAAUUAAAACACAGCACUUUGCGUAAGAUGUAAAUCAAUGUAUAGAGUGCGCUAUCUGCCCAAUGAUGGCUGGUUAACGGAUUUACUUAGACGACUAAAAUAGUCUAGGUUUUGAAGGAACCCCCAUUUAAUGGCGGCCUUACCUAUGAGGGUCCUAAGGUAGCGAAAUACCUUGGCAUUUAAAUGAUGUCGCGCAUGAAUGAUCUCACGAUGCAACAGCUGUCUCAAUGAUUGGCUCAGUGAAACUGGAAUGGCAGUGAAGAUACUGCCUAUCUCUAGAUAGACGAGAAGACCCCAUGCAGCUUUACUGUUACUAGUUAUAGGGUAUAAUUUAACAGGUUUUAGGGAAUAAGGUAGUUGACAGACAGAAUUGAAACACCUUUACUCUGGUUGUUAUAUCAGUAGAAUAAGUUACAAUUUGUAACUGACGUCUUAAUGUGAUCCAAAAAAGGAGGAAGAUCGUAGAUCAAACUCAGGAGACAAUGGCUAGCAGAUGGUUUAUGCGGGGCACAGAUCCCAUAAAGAGUACCUGGGAGUAUCCAAAUUUAUAUUUGUAAUAUGCUAUACGCUAUUUAUAUAAGACUUUACUAAGUAAUUGACUUAUAUAUUUAAAUUUUUUUAAUUACUAUAUUUAGUUUGUUAUUUUUUAUAUUUACUUUAAAGUAUCUAUAAUUAAUUCAGUUAUAUUUCUAUUUAAGUUAGAACUAAAACAUUUUAAUAUAAGUAAGAUUUUACCUAUGUGGAAAAUAGGUGUGUAUAUCGUAUUAAUAAUUAACUUUGUAUAAAAGGUUAAUUGUACUACGAUUAGUUAUUUUUUCUAAAAAAAAAUGAUAUUGAUAUAUACUUCCAAAGUUUAAUGGCUAAAUCUUGCUUUACUGUUCGACAUACACGUCUAUCAGUUGCGUAAGCAGGGCAUAAAGACCGCAAGACGCAGUAAGGAAAGGUCUUGUAUUAUUGAAAAAGCUACGCUGGGGAUAACAGGCUAAUUGCGCCAGAGAGUACAAAUUGAGUGCGCAGUUUGGCACCUCGAUGUCGGCUUAGCUCAUCCACAUGAAUGCAGGAAUCAUGAAGGGUACGACUGUUCGUCGAUUAAAGAGCUACACGAGCUGGGUUAAAUACGUCGUGAGACAGUAUGGU